Molecule: ribosomal RNA, 2123 nt
Filed under: Candidatus Daviesbacteria bacterium
Lineage: Bacteria; Candidatus Daviesiibacteriota
Description: 23S ribosomal RNA
Rfam family: Bacterial large subunit ribosomal RNA
Source: RNAcentral
UUAUAUUCAACAUUAAUGCAUACGGUGGAUGCCUUGGUCGAAAGUACCGAUGAAGGACGCACUUGACCGCGAUAGUCUGCGAGGAGCUGCCAAGAAGCUUUGAUCCGCAGGUUUCCGAAUAGAGUAAUCAAUCAUUUUAUAUGAUGUCUUUUACUGAAUACAUAGGUAAAAGAAGGGUACGCGCUGAACUGAAACAUCUAAUUAAGCGCAGGAAAAUAAAUCAAAAGAGAUUCCCCGAGUAGCGGCGAGCGAAAAGGGAAGAGACUAAACUUAUUCCGCAAGGGAUGAGGGUUGUGGGAUCUACGAUACGGUAUUAACUAAAGAUAAUAGAAUAGUCUGGAAAGACUAGCCAAAGGAAGUGAUAGCCUUGUAUAUAAAAUCUAAAGUUAGCCUAGUAGACACCCGAGUAGCACAGGACACGUGAAAUCCUGUGUGAAUCUGUGGCGACCGCGCCAUAAGUCUAAAUAUACUUUCGGACCGAUAGUGAACUAGUACCGCGAGGGAAAGGUGAAAAGAAGGGCGAAACGCCCAGUGAAAUAGUACCUGAAACCGUAUGUUGACGAGCAGUCAAAGUCCCAAUUUAUUGGGACAAUGGCGUGCCUAUUGAAGAAUGAACCGGUGAGUUACCUGACUUUUCAAGUCUAACUCUCUAAUAAGAGGAAGGCGUAGUGAAAGCGAGCGUUAAUAGCGCGAUUAGGAAAGGCAGGUAGACCCGAAACCGAGUGAGCUAACCAUGUCCAGGGUGAAGGUCGUCGAAAGAUGAUUGGAAGCCCGAACCCAUAUCAAGAGCAAUUGGUUGGGAUGAGAUGUGGUUAGAGGUGAUAUGCCUAACGAACUCGGAGAUAGCUGGUUCUCCCCGAAAUAUAUCUAGGUAUAGCCUCCAAGUAAUAACUGCAGGGGUAGAGCACUGGAUGGACUUUUGUGUCGCAAGACUCAAAGUUCAAUCAAACUCCGAAUACUGCAGGUCUCUUGGGGAGUCAGUCCGAUCCGGCUAAGCGGAGCGGUCGUGAGGGAAACAACCCAAAUCAAUAGCUAAGGUCCCUAAAUGUAAGUUAAGUGUUAAAGGAAGUCUAAAACCUUAUACAGCCAGGAAGUUGGCUUAGAAGCAGCCACCUUUUAAAGAUAGCGUAACAGCUCACUGGUCUAUUACGGUUUUAGGCGCCGACAAUUUAUCGGGGCUAAACUUACUACCGAAGCUUUGGAUGCGAUUUAAUUUAUUAAGUCGCGUGGUAGGGGAGCGAUCUUUUUGGAGUGAAUGGUCCUAGGAAUGGGACCUGGACUGGAAAGAUGUGAGAAUGCCGGUAUGAGUAGCGUAUUGACGUGAGAAACGUCAUCGCCGAAUGCCCAAGGUUUUCCAUGCAACGUUAAUCGGCGUGGAGUUAGUCGAUCCUAAGGUCAGGCCAAACGGCGUAGCCGAUGGACAACAGGUUAAAAUUCCUGUACUUGUUUGUAUCGAAAACACGCCCGCCGCAAGGCGCGGCGUAAGACUUUAAGGGUGGACAGAGUGGGAAUAUCCAGCCCUGUAUAUCAGGGUUUAAGUGACAAGGAAGUAUGAGUCGGCAAAUCCGCUCGUAAUCUCAACGUUUGUUGGGAUCGGCCUGAUAGGCUUUAAAACCUGUCAGACUGCACAUUCGAGUUACGAAGCGCAAGUGGAAAUUUUCUAUUUUCAAGAAAAGACCCGUAAAGGAGUACAAAUGAAUCGUACCAAUAACCGACACAGGUGGGCGAGUUGAGUAUACAUAGGCGAUCGAGAAAACUAUCCUUAAGGAACUCGGCAAUAUAACUGGACGUAAGUUAGCAAGAUGUCCUGCCCCGAGCAAUCGGGGUUACAAUAAAAGACGCUGAGCGACUGUUUAACAAAAACACAGGUCCCUGCUAAAUCGAAAGAUGAUGUAUAGGGGCUGACACCUGCCCAGUGCCAGUAAUUUAACAUUUCGGCUGACCCGAUUCGCAAGAUGAGGUGAGGCUGAGGUCUAAGAUCUGGUGAACGGCAGCAGUAACUAUGAAACCUAAAAGGUUGUUGUAGUUGUUAAACUUGGCUAAAUGCUGGAACAUCUGAGAAUCCUACAUUAGUAUUGACUUUUUGGUUUACCUUCGGGUAAUCUGGAGUUAGGACUAAAAAU